RNAcentral lists this transfer RNA (72 nucleotides) under Phrynosoma platyrhinos (Desert horned lizard). RNAcentral describes it as "tRNA-OTHER". The record is from RNAcentral. Lineage: Eukaryota; Metazoa; Chordata; Lepidosauria; Squamata; Phrynosomatidae.
GCCACUGUGGUGUAGUGGUUUGAGCAUUAGGCUAUGACUCUGGAGACCAGGGUUCGAAUCCCAGCUCAGCCA